CAAACGACUCUCGGCAACGGAUAUCUCGGCUCAUGCAUCGAUGAAGAACGUAGCGAAAUGCGAUACUUGGUGGGUGAAUUGCAGAAUCCCGUGAACCAUCGAGUCUUUGAACGCAAGUUGCGCCCGAAGCCAUUCGGCCGAGGGCACGCCUGCCUGGGCGUCACGC
Molecule: ribosomal RNA, 166 nt
Filed under: Goodenia micrantha
Lineage: Eukaryota; Viridiplantae; Streptophyta; Magnoliopsida; Asterales; Goodeniaceae
Description: 5.8S ribosomal RNA
Rfam family: 5.8S ribosomal RNA
About the family: 5.8S ribosomal RNA (5.8S rRNA) is a component of the large subunit of the eukaryotic ribosome. It is transcribed by RNA polymerase I as part of the 45S precursor that also contains 18S and 28S rRNA. Functionally, it is thought that 5.8S rRNA may be involved in ribosome translocation.
Source: RNAcentral